GCCAGGCGUGGUGGUGUACACCUGUAGUCCCAGCUACUCGAGAGGCUGAGGUGGGAGGAUCACUUGAGUCCAGGAGCUUGAGGCUGCAGUGAGCCUUGAUUGUGUCACUGCACUCCAGCCUGGGCAACAGAGUGAGACCCUGUCUCAA
This 148-nucleotide non-coding RNA is filed under the name Nomascus leucogenys (northern white-cheeked gibbon). Lineage: Eukaryota; Metazoa; Chordata; Mammalia; Primates; Hylobatidae. The record is from Rfam by way of RNAcentral.